AAUAUUGGACAAUGGGCGAAAGCCUGAUCCAGCCAUGCCGCGUGUGUGAAGAAGGUCUUCGGAUUGUAACGCACUUUAAGUUGGGAGGAAGGGUUGUAGGUUAAUACCCUGCAAUUUUGACGUUACCAACAGAAUAAGCACCGGCUAACUUCGUGCCAGCAGCCGCGGUAAUACGAAGGGUGCAAGCGUUAAUCGGAAUUACUGGGCGUAAAGCGGGCGUAGGUGGUUCGUUAAGUUGGGAGUUGAAACCCCGGGCUUAACCUGGGGAAUGCUUUCAAAACUGGCAAGCUAGAGUAAGGCAGAGGGUGGUGGAAUUUCCUGUGUAGCGGUGGAAUGCGUAGAUAUAGGAAGGAACACCAGUGGCGAAGGCGACUACCUGGACUGAUACUGACACUGAGGUGCGAAAGCGUGGGGAGCAAACAGG
This 424-nucleotide ribosomal RNA is filed under the name uncultured bacterium. Its description in RNAcentral is "partial 16S ribosomal RNA". It matches the Rfam family "Bacterial small subunit ribosomal RNA", at positions 360 to 776 of the family's 1533-position model. The record is from RNAcentral.